Molecule: small RNA, 610 nt
Filed under: Oryza sativa Japonica Group (Japanese rice)
Lineage: Eukaryota; Viridiplantae; Streptophyta; Magnoliopsida; Poales; Poaceae
Description: sRNA Os01g0164650
Source: RNAcentral
ACCUCCUCAUCCUUGAGAAAAGUAGAAGUGUGUGCCAUGAGCUCUCGAGAAAACAGAGCCGGAUUGACAUCCUUUUCUGCCCAUCUGUCAGUAGACAAGAGAAUGACUAGCAGGAUAAAAACCUUGUGUUAAUGCGAAUUGCUGAAAACACCAUGUAUUUUUUUGAGAAGUGCUGAAAUCAACCCAAAAUUAAAAGGAAGGAAACAAAAGCACAAUCUACAAUUUAUUGAAGCAGUUCUUUUCAGGGACAAAAGUACAAAACAAUUCAUUGCAGCGAAGAUGGUGUACCCUGAAACUCCAUCUGCGACGGCAAACACUCCACCAUCAUCGCCGUUCACAAAGAAAGCAUCUUCUCCGCCAGUCUCAGCCUUCAGAAUUUGAAGAACAUUCAAAUAUCAAACAAUGGUUGCUUCUGUUGUAUAAUUGAGUAUGAAGGGGAAAAAAACACUACCAGAAGAGUAAUAUAUUAAUAUGUUUAUCUAAAAAAUGACUAACCUUUCUUGGGUGUGGUAUUAGAUGAGUUCCAAUAGUUAACACAGCUUCCAACCUACAAUUACAGGCUCACAUUACCAAACACUGACAGAUGAAGCACACUAGAAAUAACUAAAGA